GACGAACGCUGGCGGCGUGCUUAACACAUGCAAGUCGAACGGAAAGGCCCUGCUUUUGUGGGGUGCUCGAGUGGCGAACGGGUGAGUAACACGUGAGUAACCUGCCCUUGACUUUGGGAUAACUUCAGGAAACUGGGGCUAAUACCGGAUAGGAGCUCCUGCUGCAUGGUGGGGGUUGGAAAGUUUCGGCGGUUGGGGAUGGACUCGCGGCUUAUCAGCUUGUUGGUGGGGUAGUGGCUUACCAAGGCUUUGACGGGUAGCCGGCCUGAGAGGGUGACCGGCCACAGUGGGACUGAGAUACGGCCCGGACUCCUACGGGAGGCAGCAGUGGGGAAUAUUGCAUAAUGGGCGGAAGCCUGAUGCAGCAACGCCGCGUGCGGGAUGACGGCCUUCGGGUUGUAAACCGCUUUCGCCUGUGACGAAGCGUGAGUGACGGUAAUGUGUAAAGAAGCACCGGCUAACUACGUG
This 468-nucleotide ribosomal RNA is filed under the name uncultured bacterium. RNAcentral describes it as "partial 16S ribosomal RNA". It matches the Rfam family "Bacterial small subunit ribosomal RNA", at positions 28 to 507 of the family's 1533-position model. The record is from RNAcentral.